GCAUCGCCUGUUAACAAGUGGAUAUAUGAUGCAUCGAGGCUCUAUCAGUACUAUCUGGACAAGACAACUCCACUUUCGGUUUACAGAUGGAUUGGGACUUUUGUGUUGGUUGUCAUUUACGCGCUGCGGGUUUACUCUGUUCAGGGGUUCUACAUUGUGUCGUAUGGUCUCGGGAUUUACAUACUGAAUCUUCUGAUUGGGUUUUUGUCGCCAUUGGCUGAUCCGGAGAUGGGAGGAGGUGGUUCAGAUGGGCCGUUGCUUCCAACCAAGGGUUCAGAUGAAUUCAAGCCAUUCAUCCGCCGCCUUCCUGAGUUUAAGUUCUGGUAACUACAUGUUCCUGUUUUCACAUUACUUGAGUUAAUAUUUUAUAGUUGUCGUAUUCUACAAAUUAUUAGUUAUCUUCUUUGGACUCAUGGUAAUUGUAAUGUCGUCCAAAUCUUAUGUUUUUGUUUGUUCCUGGAAAUCAUUGGUAGAUGGGUUAUUUAGAGAUAAAACGGUGUUCAAGUUUCAAGACUGUAAUACUUGUGUACUGUGCAAUGUGGUCUGGGGAAAAUGGAAAUAUUGGAAAAUAUGAGAACAUCUAGACUGUUUUAGUAUGUUAUGUGGAAAAUUGUAGUGAGGCUAAUUUGGCAGGUAUAUUCGUCAUGAUUCGGAAUACCCACACCAUUGCAUUUGACUAAAUUUUUUUUCAUCAAAGAACAUCAGUGUUCGAUUGGUUUUGUAAAGUAGGGAAUCUCAUUUUAUUUCUUUAUCAAAGGCCCUAGAUAUUUUUCAGAACUGAUUCUUUGGCUUCAUUCAUUAAUGCUGUUUGAAGUUUGAAGUAGGAUGUUAUUUUAGUUUUUUUUUAUAUUGUAAUCUCAUUUCUUAGAAUUGUUGGUCUUCUUUCCUCUUGCCAUUACUAUUUGUUGUUCCGACCUACCUCCCUUGUCAAUGAUGUAUGUGCUCUAGAUUUAACUGUCAGUGGCUAGGUAUCUAUAGAAGUUUUAGUCAAGGAUGGCGAAGAGUGGAGUGGAGAGUACUAGAUUUGUCUGCCUUCCUAAAGAGCUUGGUGUAAUGACAUUUAGGUUAAAAUGUGUCUUGGUGCAUGACUGGAGUACCACAAUGAGGGGCUGGAUCCGUUUCAGAAGGGUCUGAGGUUCAGUGGUUCAUUAGAAACUAUGGUGAAGUUGCGCUCUCAUGUGUGGUUCUUCAAGUGUAUAUGUUCCCUUAUCUACUUUGGGCAACAUGCUUUGUCACUUAAAGAGAAUGGGUAGGCUAUUGAUUAUCUGGCCUUGAAGGGAGCCGAGGUUCUUGCAAUACCUAUUUGUCCAAAACUUUGAUACUUAGGAACUAGGAGUAGGAGGAAACUAUCUCCGAAGGUGGUGGAAGGUGACAAGGAUGGGAUUUAAUGGCUGUGUGGGACCCAUGUUGUUAUCCUGAAGCUCUAAUCGUGGAGUCUUUAAUGAUGGAUAUAUAAAUACUGAAUAUAACAAUUCCAUGUCGUAUCUGUGCUUUACAUAUUUCAGUAGGAUUGAGUGGCUGCUUUCCAUAUUUGUUAUCACUCUUUUUUCUGAAAGGAAAAAAAAAAAACAGCAUCCGUGGAGUCUAUUAACAAGGGAAAUAGAAACACUAAAUAGAGAGUCACCAGUAACUUGAAAUGGUUACUUGAAGAUUCUAAUGCCUACUUAUAGCUUGCUGAACCUAUUCAAGCUGAGCCUUUGGCAAGCUUGAGCCAUUUCAUUUUUAUACAUUUAUCUAUGGCUUUGGUAAUUGGUGGAUGUUAUUGUUAGGUGUGUCUGUGUGACACCUGAAGCCGUAAAACCCUGUUAGACAGACAUUCUAUUAGCAGCUGUUGCUGCAAUGUAAGUUAGUGUUUUACCAAUGUGACACAUUACUUGAAGGUAGUCAAAUUAUUUUGUUGAUUGAGUUUGUCUGCUAUGACCUCCUGCUUUGUUGCGCCCUCUAAGGAUCUUCCUACAAUUUCUAUAUUAUCCUGAUUUAUCGCCACCAGAAACAAAGAUCCUGCCCAGAAUCUAGUUGAAAAGGAUUACACUUGUCUAAUCACCUUGGUUUCACAGUUCCUCUGAAUGUACUACUGUACUUACUAUCUUUUUAUCUCUCCUGUUAUUUAUAUUGCUUUCAUGGUUCAGGUACUCUUUCACAAAGGCUUUCUGCAUUGGAUUUGUCAUGACCUUCUUCUCUGUAUUUGAUGUGCCUGUCUUUUGGCCAAUACUUCUCUGUUACUGGAUUGUUCUGUUCGUCCUAACAAUGAGGCGCCAAAUUGCACACAUGAUCAAAUACAAAUAUGUUCCAUUCAACCUUGGGAAGCAGGUGAACUUCUAAUACUUAUCAUUAUGUGUGCAUGUGUGAUACAUAACCAUUUCUAGAAGCACCAUCUGUAUAUUAUUUUGGUUACUAGUGUUGCACUGUGACCUUUGUGGACCGUGAGUUUGAAGAAUAACUAUCUGGUUAUUUGUCUUUGACAGAAAUAUGGCAGCAAAAAACCUUCCUCAAGUGGCAGUGGCCGGAAUGAUUGAAGCCCAAUUGUUGCAUAACUAGAGCAUUUAGCAGUGACUGAUGGGGAGUUGUUUGUAGAAGAAAAAGUAGGC
RNAcentral lists this long non-coding RNA (2588 nucleotides) under Fragaria vesca (wild strawberry). Its description in RNAcentral is "long non-coding RNA (FVES_LNC000471)". The record is from RNAcentral. Lineage: Eukaryota; Viridiplantae; Streptophyta; Magnoliopsida; Rosales; Rosaceae.